UACGGAGGGUGCAAGCGUUAUCCGGAUUCACUGGGCUUAAAGGGUGCGUAGGUGGUCAGUUAAGUCAGUGGUGAAAUCUCCGGGCUCAACCCGGAAACUGCCAUUGAUACUAUCUGUCUUGAAUAUCGUGGAGGUAAGCGGAAUAUGUCAUGUAGCGGUGAAAUGCUUAGAUAUGACAUAGAACACCAAUUGCGAAGGCAGCUUACUACAGGAAUAUUGACACUGAGGCACGAAAGCGUGGGGAUCAAACAGG
This 253-nucleotide ribosomal RNA is filed under the name uncultured bacterium. RNAcentral's name for it is "partial 16S ribosomal RNA". It matches the Rfam family "Bacterial small subunit ribosomal RNA", at positions 524 to 776 of the family's 1533-position model. The record is from RNAcentral.